Molecule: ribosomal RNA, 2791 nt
Filed under: Escherichia coli
Lineage: Bacteria; Pseudomonadati; Pseudomonadota; Gammaproteobacteria; Enterobacterales; Enterobacteriaceae
Description: bacterial LSU rRNA
Rfam family: Bacterial large subunit ribosomal RNA
Source: RNAcentral
UUAAGCGACUAAGCGUACACGGUGGAUGCCCUGGCAGUCAGAGGCGAUGAAGGACGUGCUAAUCUGCGAUAAGCGUCGGUAAGGUGAUAUGAACCGUUAUAACCGGCGAUUUCCGAAUGGGGAAACCCAGUGUGUUUCGACACACUAUCAUUAACUGAAUCCAUAGGUUAAUGAGGCGAACCGGGGGAACUGAAACAUCUAAGUACCCCGAGGAAAAGAAAUCAACCGAGAUUCCCCCAGUAGCGGCGAGCGAACGGGGAGCAGCCCAGAGCCUGAAUCAGUGUGUGUGUUAGUGGAAGCGUCUGGAAAGGCGCGCGAUACAGGGUGACAGCCCCGUACACAAAAAUGCACAUGCUGUGAGCUCGAUGAGUAGGGCGGGACACGUGGUAUCCUGUCUGAAUAUGGGGGGACCAUCCUCCAAGGCUAAAUACUCCUGACUGACCGAUAGUGAACCAGUACCGUGAGGGAAAGGCGAAAAGAACCCCGGCGAGGGGAGUGAAAAAGAACCUGAAACCGUGUACGUACAAGCAGUGGGAGCACGCUUCGGCGUGUGACUGCGUACCUUUUGUAUAAUGGGUCAGCGACUUAUAUUCUGUAGCAAGGUUAACCGAAUAGGGGAGCCGAAGGGAAACCGAGUCUUAACUGGGCGUUAAGUUGCAGGGUAUAGACCCGAAACCCGGUGAUCUAGCCAUGGGCAGGUUGAAGGUUGGGUAACACUAACUGGAGGACCGAACCGACUAAUGUUGAAAAAUUAGCGGAUGACUUGUGGCUGGGGGUGAAAGGCCAAUCAAACCGGGAGAUAGCUGGUUCUCCCCGAAAGCUAUUUAGGUAGCGCCUCGUGAAUUCAUCUCCGGGGGUAGAGCACUGUUUCGGCAAGGGGGUCAUCCCGACUUACCAACCCGAUGCAAACUGCGAAUACCGGAGAAUGUUAUCACGGGAGACACACGGCGGGUGCUAACGUCCGUCGUGAAGAGGGAAACAACCCAGACCGCCAGCUAAGGUCCCAAAGUCAUGGUUAAGUGGGAAACGAUGUGGGAAGGCCCAGACAGCCAGGAUGUUGGCUUAGAAGCAGCCAUCAUUUAAAGAAAGCGUAAUAGCUCACUGGUCGAGUCGGCCUGCGCGGAAGAUGUAACGGGGCUAAACCAUGCACCGAAGCUGCGGCAGCGACGCUGAUGCGUUGUUGGGUAGGGGAGCGUUCUGUAAGCCUGUGAAGGUGUGCUGUGAGGCAUGCUGGAGGUAUCAGAAGUGCGAAUGCUGACAUAAGUAACGAUAAAGCGGGUGAAAAGCCCGCUCGCCGGAAGACCAAGGGUUCCUGUCCAACGUUAAUCGGGGCAGGGUGAGUCGACCCCUAAGGCGAGGCCGAAAGGCGUAGUCGAUGGGAAACAGGUUAAUAUUCCUGUACUUGGUGUUACUGCGAAGGGGGGACGGAGAAGGCUAUGUUGGCCGGGCGACGGUUGUCCCGGUUUAAGCGUGUAGGCUGGUUUUCCAGGCAAAUCCGGAAAAUCAAGGCUGAGGCGUGAUGACGAGGCACUACGGUGCUGAAGCAACAAAUGCCCUGCUUCCAGGAAAAGCCUCUAAGCAUCAGGUAACAUCAAAUCGUACCCCAAACCGACACAGGUGGUCAGGUAGAGAAUACCAAGGCGCUUGAGAGAACUCGGGUGAAGGAACUAGGCAAAAUGGUGCCGUAACUUCGGGAGAAGGCACGCUGAUAUGUAGGUGAAGUCCCUCGCGGAUGGAGCUGAAAUCAGUCGAAGAUACCAGCUGGCUGCAACUGUUUAUUAAAAACACAGCACUGUGCAAACACGAAAGUGGACGUAUACGGUGUGACGCCUGCCCGGUGCCGGAAGGUUAAUUGAUGGGGUCAGCGCAAGCGAAGCUCUUGAUCGAAGCCCCGGUAAACGGCGGCCGUAACUAUAACGGUCCUAAGGUAGCGAAAUUCCUUGUCGGGUAAGUUCCGACCUGCACGAAUGGCGUAAUGAUGGCCAGGCUGUCUCCACCCGAGACUCAGUGAAAUUGAACUCGCUGUGAAGAUGCAGUGUACCCGCGGCAAGACGGAAAGACCCCGUGAACCUUUACUAUAGCUUGACACUGAACAUUGAGCCUUGAUGUGUAGGAUAGGUGGGAGGCUUUGAAGUGUGGACGCCAGUCUGCAUGGAGCCGACCUUGAAAUACCACCCUUUAAUGUUUGAUGUUCUAACGUUGACCCGUAAUCCGGGUUGCGGACAGUGUCUGGUGGGUAGUUUGACUGGGGCGGUCUCCUCCUAAAGAGUAACGGAGGAGCACGAAGGUUGGCUAAUCCUGGUCGGACAUCAGGAGGUUAGUGCAAUGGCAUAAGCCAGCUUGACUGCGAGCGUGACGGCGCGAGCAGGUGCGAAAGCAGGUCAUAGUGAUCCGGUGGUUCUGAAUGGAAGGGCCAUCGCUCAACGGAUAAAAGGUACUCCGGGGAUAACAGGCUGAUACCGCCCAAGAGUUCAUAUCGACGGCGGUGUUUGGCACCUCGAUGUCGGCUCAUCACAUCCUGGGGCUGAAGUAGGUCCCAAGGGUAUGGCUGUUCGCCAUUUAAAGUGGUACGCGAGCUGGGUUUAGAACGUCGUGAGACAGUUCGGUCCCUAUCUGCCGUGGGCGCUGGAGAACUGAGGGGGGCUGCUCCUAGUACGAGAGGACCGGAGUGGACGCAUCACUGGUGUUCGGGUUGUCAUGCCAAUGGCACUGCCCGGUAGCUAAAUGCGGAAGAGAUAAGUGCUGAAAGCAUCUAAGCACGAAACUUGCCCCGAGAUGAGUUCUCCCUGAC